UCCAUAUCAUAUGGUCAUGAGCAA
This 24-nucleotide non-coding RNA is filed under the name Rattus norvegicus (Norway rat). Lineage: Eukaryota; Metazoa; Chordata; Mammalia; Rodentia; Muridae. The record is from RNAcentral.